This 354-nucleotide unclassified non-coding RNA is filed under the name soil metagenome. RNAcentral describes it as "partial contains 5.8S ribosomal RNA, internal transcribed spacer 2, and large subunit ribosomal RNA". The stretch from base 3 to 120 matches the Rfam family "5.8S ribosomal RNA", at positions 37 to 154 of the family's 154-position model. The record is from RNAcentral.
GGUGAAGAACGUAGCGAAAUGCGAUAAGUAGUGUGAAUUGCAGAAUUCAGUGAAUCAUCGAAUCUUUGAACGCACAUUGCGCCUCCUGGUAUUCCUGGAGGCAUGCCUGUUCGAGCGUCAUUAAAAUCACUCAAGCUUAGGUUUACCUAUUGCUUGGUCUUGGAGAUGGAAGCCAAUUUAUUGGAAUCCUCUUCGAAAUUCAAUGGCGAAGACCCUUGCUCUCCCAAGUGUAGUAAUAACUUAUGUCACUGAAGGAAGCGAGAAAUCUUCUGCCGUAACCCCCAUAUUUUCUAUGAUUGACCUCGGAUCAGGUAGGGAUACCCGCUGAACUUAAGCAUAUCAAUAAGCGGAGGA